GGAAGUCCACAGGGAAGAACAUUGAGAAAGGGAAGACCCUGGAGUUGGAGAAAUUUGUAGAAAACUUGAACGAACAACUAUCUUCUGUCCGCAGCGAGUCCAAUGCUAAAGAUGAUCUUUUGGCAAAGCAAGCAAAAGUAGCUGAGGAAGCAAUUUCAGGAUGGGAAAAAGCAGAAGCUCGAGCUCUGGCUUUACAGAAACAAUUGGAUGAUGCCUUGCUUCAGAA
Molecule: long non-coding RNA, 226 nt
Organism: Zingiber officinale
Lineage: Eukaryota; Viridiplantae; Streptophyta; Magnoliopsida; Zingiberales; Zingiberaceae
Exons: 3
Source: RefSeq, a predicted model, not a curated record